This 452-nucleotide ribosomal RNA is filed under the name uncultured bacterium. RNAcentral's name for it is "bacterial SSU rRNA". It matches the Rfam family "Bacterial small subunit ribosomal RNA", at positions 355 to 825 of the family's 1533-position model. The record is from RNAcentral.
UGGGGAAUAUUGGGCAAUGGAGGGAACUCUGACCCAGCGACGCCGCGUGCGGGAUGAAGGCCUUCGGGUUGUAAACCGCUUUCAGCAGGGAAGAAGCGAAAGUGACGGUACCUGCAGAAGAAGCACCGGCUAACUAUGUGCCAGCAGCCGCGGUAAUACAUAGGGUGCAAGCGUUGUCCGGAAUUAUUGGGCGUAAAGAGCUCGUAGGUGGUUCGUCACGUCGGAUGUGAAAAUCUGGGGCUUAACCCCAGACCUGCAUUCGAUACGGGCGAGCUAGAGUGUGGUAGGGGAGACUGGAAUUCCUGGUGUAGCGGUGGAAUGCGCAGAUAUCAGGAGGAACACCAAUGGCGAAGGCAGGUCUCUGGGCCAUUACUGACACUGAGGAGCGAAAGCGUGGGGAGCGAACAGGAUUAGAUACCCCCGUAGUCCCUGAGCGGGCUGGCAAGGCGCAU